AUACGGAGGGUGCAAGCGUUAUCCGGAAUCAUUGGGUUUAAAGGGUCCGUAGGCGGGCUAAUAAGUCAGGGGUGAAAUCCCACAGCUUAACUGUGGAACUGCCCUUGAUACUGUUGGUCUUGAGUUACAGUGAAGUGGCUAGAAUGUGUAGUGUAGCGGUGAAAUGCAUAGAGAUUACACAGAAUACCGAUUGCGAAGGCAGAUCACUAACUGUAUACUGACGCUAAUGGACGAAAGCGUGGGGAGCGAACAGGAUUAGAAACCCCAGUAGUCC
RNAcentral lists this ribosomal RNA (274 nucleotides) under uncultured bacterium. RNAcentral's name for it is "partial 16S ribosomal RNA". It matches the Rfam family "Bacterial small subunit ribosomal RNA", at positions 523 to 796 of the family's 1533-position model. The record is from RNAcentral.